CGCCUGGGGAGUACGGUCGCAAGAUUAAAACUCAAAUGAAUUGACGGGGGCCCGCACAAGCGGUGGAGCAUGUGGUUUAAUUCGAUGCAACGCGAAGAACCUUACCUACUCUUGACAUCCAGAGAAGCCAGCGGAGACGCAGGCGUGCCUUCGGGAGCUCUGAGACAGGUGCUGCAUGGCUGUCGUCAGCUCGUGUUGUGAAAUGUUGGGUUAAGUCCCGCAACGAGCGCAACCCUUAUCCUUGUUUGCCAGCGAGUAAUUCGGGAACUCCAGGGAGACUGCCGGUGAUAAACCGGAGGAAGGUGGGGACGAUGUCAAGUCAUCAUGGCCCUUACGAGUAGGGCUACACACGUGCUACAAUGGCAUAUACAGAGGACUGCCAACUCGCGAGAGUGAGCGAAUCCCAUAAAGUAUGUCGUAGUCCGGAUUGGAGUCUGCAACUCGACUCCAUGAAGUCGGAAUCGCUAGUAAUCGUGGAUCAGAAUGCCACGGUGAAUACGUUCCCGGGCCUUGAACACACCGCCCGUC
RNAcentral lists this ribosomal RNA (528 nucleotides) under uncultured Vibrio sp. Its description in RNAcentral is "bacterial SSU rRNA". It matches the Rfam family "Bacterial small subunit ribosomal RNA", at positions 870 to 1398 of the family's 1533-position model. Lineage: Bacteria; Pseudomonadati; Pseudomonadota; Gammaproteobacteria; Vibrionales; Vibrionaceae. The record is from RNAcentral.